UGAAUGUUAUUCUUUUUGUAUUUUUGAAGAAGAAGGAUUCGGUAACCAUUCAUAUGAAUGAAGAGGGCUUCGAUCCGUAAAAACUUUUUUCUUUUGAUGGAUUGAUGAAAAGCAUUUGCAUUUUUUCAUUUCUCUUUGCUUGAGUCAGUCAUCUUACUUGCGAUCAUCAAACUGGUCUUUAUUUUCAAAAUUUUGUGAAAUCUGAGUAAUGUCAUACAUCCAAGGUCUAACGCUGGAUAUGAUUAUAUAUUUGACUUUUUCUUUCUUGACAUCAAUGCACACAUACUUGAAUUUAUUGGCAAAAGGAUGGUUUUGAAGAGAAUGAGAGUUGUUUGGAAUGGCUUGGAAAGCUGGGACAAGCACAUGGGCACUACAAUCCUCAAAUGAGUGUCAAGACGAAACACAAUAUAUCAAAAAUUUUGCCCCGGUUUAGCAUUUGGGAAAAUGAGAUGAGAUUUGGAUCCAUGACAAUUAGGGUGAAAAUUUCAAAUGAGAUUUGCAAAGCUGCCCCAGUCUUGAGGUUACGGGUUGAUGAAUUUCAGGGCAAAGAUGCAUGGUGAAAUCCACAAUGUUGCCCCAGUUUUUUUUUUUUGCAAAGGGGUUCCAUUUGGAAGAGGUAGUGGGUAUGAAAAGGAUUGGCUAAAAGGAUGACCCCAAUUGGUUUGAUUUUUCUUGUACAUGUUGCUUGCUAGUUUGCAAGGAGAUCCCCUCUUCCCGAUACAUUACUUUUUCUUCUUCUUUUUUUUUUCAAUUCUUUUCUCUUUUUUUUGUUGUUUUUUUUUUAGACACAUUGAAAGUCAUUUCGCCUUAUCACAAAAUUAAGCUUUAUGAAAAAGUGAACAAACAUUAUCCAAUCUGUGUGGGCUUUAUUAGGCUUGUAACGUGGCUAAGGGCUAAAAGGUAUUGAAAGAAAGGAUAUAAAGGCCCAAAUGAAUGUUUGUUGGUUAUAUUUUUUGAAACAAAGGUUAUCAUCUAGGCANUGCAUCAACCUUUUGACUUUUUGAGCACUUUGUUUUUUUCUUGAACUUCGUUUUUCAUUCUUUUUGCUCGACAUCACUUUGUGAAUUUUUAUUGUUCUUUUUGUUUUUCUUUGCUUUUUAUCCACUCUUCUUGAUGAAUUCUCUUNGUUUGAUUAUUGAGUGCUCUUUAUUUGCGUCAUGAGUCGAUGCCUACCUGAUGACAACCCUUGCUUGGGAAUGAUUUUGAAAAAGAAUUUAUUUUUGGCUCAAACAGGGUGACAACGGAUAUAUUUUUGCUUUUAGGUAAAAACAAGAAGGCCACACAUCAUUUUGAACUCUGAUUGCUUUAUUUUCAAAAGAUUAAUUUUGCAACUGGAUGACCUCAACCUGAGUCN
This 1354-nucleotide long non-coding RNA is filed under the name Vigna radiata. Its description in RNAcentral is "long non-coding RNA (VRAD_LNC015240)". The record is from RNAcentral. Lineage: Eukaryota; Viridiplantae; Streptophyta; Magnoliopsida; Fabales; Fabaceae.